GCGGGAGUAGCUCAGUUGGUAGAGCAUCAGCCUUCCAAGCUGAGGGUCGCGGAUUCGAGCUCCGUCUCCCGCUCUA
This 76-nucleotide transfer RNA is filed under the name Bacteroidota bacterium. RNAcentral's name for it is "Bacteroidetes bacterium (marine metagenome) tRNA-Gly". It matches the Rfam family "tRNA". Rfam says of the family: Transfer RNA (tRNA) molecules are approximately 80 nucleotides in length. Their secondary structure includes four short double-helical elements and three loops (D, anti-codon, and T loops). Further hydrogen bonds mediate the characteristic L-shaped molecular structure. tRNAs have two regions of fundamental functional importance: the anti-codon, which is responsible for specific mRNA codon recognition, and the 3' end, to which the tRNAs corresponding amino acid is attached (by aminoacyl-tRNA synthetases). tRNAs cope with the degeneracy of the genetic code in two manners: having more than one tRNA (with a specific anti-codon) for a particular amino acid; and 'wobble' base-pairing, i.e. permitting non-standard base-pairing at the 3rd anti-codon position. Lineage: Bacteria; Pseudomonadati; Bacteroidota. The record is from RNAcentral.